This 301-nucleotide ribosomal RNA is filed under the name uncultured bacterium. RNAcentral's name for it is "partial 16S ribosomal RNA". It matches the Rfam family "Bacterial small subunit ribosomal RNA", at positions 509 to 807 of the family's 1533-position model. The record is from RNAcentral.
CAGCCGCCACGGUAAUACGUAGGGUGCGAGCGUUAAUCGGAAUUACUGGGCGUAAAGCGUGCGCAGGCGGUUAUGUAAGACAGUUGUGAAAUCCCCGGGCUCAACCUGGGAACUGCAUCUGUGACUGCAUAGCUAGAGUACGGUAGAGGGGGAUGGAAUUCCGCGUGUAGCAGUGAAAUGCGUAGAUAUGCGGAGGAACACCGAUGGCGAAGGCAAUCCCCUGGACCUGUACUGACGCUCAUGCACGAAAGCGUGGGGAGCAAACAGGAUUAGAUACCCCUGUAGUCCCUGUCUCUUAUAC